This 253-nucleotide ribosomal RNA is filed under the name uncultured bacterium. RNAcentral's name for it is "partial 16S ribosomal RNA". It matches the Rfam family "Bacterial small subunit ribosomal RNA", at positions 524 to 776 of the family's 1533-position model. The record is from RNAcentral.
UACGAAGGGGGCUAGCGUUGCUCGGAAUUACUGGGCGUAAAGGGCGCGUAGGCGGCUCGCUAAGUCGGGUGUGAAAACUCUGGGCUCAACCCAGAGCCUGCAUUCGAAACUGACGGGCUAGAGUUCUGGAGGGGAAAGCGGAAUUCCUGGUGUAGCAGUGAAAUGCGUAGAUAUCAGGAGGAACACCGGUGGCGAAGGCGGCUUUCUGGACAGAAACUGACGCUGAUGCGCGAAAGCUAGGGGAGCAAACAGG